GUGGUGGCUCAAUGGUAGAGUGCUUGCCUUGCAUGCAUGAGGUCCUGGGUUCGAUCCCUCAGCAUCACA
This 69-nucleotide transfer RNA is filed under the name Dipodomys ordii (Ord's kangaroo rat). It matches the Rfam family "tRNA". From Rfam's summary of the family: Transfer RNA (tRNA) molecules are approximately 80 nucleotides in length. Lineage: Eukaryota; Metazoa; Chordata; Mammalia; Rodentia; Heteromyidae. The record is from Rfam by way of RNAcentral.